This is a non-coding RNA of Paramuricea clavata, 443 nucleotides long. The record is from the annotation of a GenBank genome assembly. NCBI's taxonomy places the organism in Eukaryota, Metazoa, Cnidaria, Anthozoa, Malacalcyonacea, Plexauridae.
CCUCUAUUAAGCGGCCCUCCAUUAAGCGGCCACCUUCUAUUAUUGAACGGCCACAUAUCGAAGUCCCGAAAUUUUUGUAAUAAAAAUAUUAUAAACUAUCCCUCUAUUAAACGGCCACCUCUAUUAAGCGGCCGAGGCCACCCAAAGAGCGGUCCCAAAUGAUGUUUUAUGUCAAUUUUUACCUCUAUAAGCGGCCAGCCUGCAGGAUUUUUAGGUUUAGAUAUAGGUAAUGAGAACCGUAUUGGUGUCCUAGUAAUACAUUUUUGCCACAAUAGUCCCUAAAUGUUUAGUGUGAAAUAUGAUAGUGUGAUGGUCUCGUGUUGUUGGCACAAUAUAUGCCGGUGAAAAAAAUGUAAUAGUAGAUGAAACUGAGAAUUAAUUAAAGAUAAAAUCACUGUAUUCUGUGAUUUAUAAUUAAAAAUAGAUAUUUGACUACGCCCAGC